UUCUAUGUUUGGUAGAAGUUUCUCCGAACGCGUACAGUAGAUGGGCAGACUUAUAUCAUUCGAUAUUUCAUGAAUUUCGUGAUACGAAAAUUUUUGCACAAGCAGUAACGAGUAAUAUUUCUAUUAUCCUGGUCCUCUAUUCGACUCGUAGAAUUUUGGUCGAAGGUGCAUACCAAGGUACUCGACGGUCAUCAGAGUUGCCUAGUUCUUCGCAGUAGCUAUUGUUCAACUUGCGGAAAGUAUGCGUUGUGCUGAAGUUACAUCGGGCAUCGAAAGACUCGUAUGAAGGCUCUCAAUUUGUCGUCACAGUGCCUUGAUCAUCGCAGUACCUAUUCAACUUCCAACCACGAAGGGCAGGACUUCCAUGGCAUCGCACAAUUCGUUUACAGGUACUCGGAGAUGCUGCCGCCGCAGUUAUGACCCCCUGGACUUCCCCUGUUCAUCAGGGGGGGUCCAGGGACUCGUCCCCUGGGACUGCGCGGCCUCCCACCGCCCCCGGGGUCCCAGGGGACC
This is a long non-coding RNA of Athalia rosae (coleseed sawfly), 513 nucleotides long. RefSeq lists it as uncharacterized. The record is from RefSeq and is a predicted model, not a curated record. NCBI's taxonomy places the organism in Eukaryota, Metazoa, Arthropoda, Insecta, Hymenoptera, Athaliidae. The transcript is spliced from 4 exons.